This 283-nucleotide ribosomal RNA is filed under the name uncultured bacterium. RNAcentral describes it as "partial 16S ribosomal RNA". It matches the Rfam family "Bacterial small subunit ribosomal RNA", at positions 773 to 1060 of the family's 1533-position model. The record is from RNAcentral.
GUGGAUUUGAUACCCCGGUAGUCCGCACUGUAAACGAUGAUUACUCGCUGCUGGGAGGUAACUUUCAGUGGCUUAGCGAAAGCGAUAAGUAAUCCACCUGGGGAGUACGCCGGCAACGGUGAAACUCAAAGGAAUUGACGGGGGCCCGCACAAGCGGAGGAGCAUGUGGUUUAAUUCGAUGAUACGCGAGGAACCUUACCAGGGCUUGAAAGUUAGUGACCGGAUCUGAAAGGAUUCUUUCCGCAAGGACACGAAACUAGGUGCUGCACGGCGGUCGUCAGCU